Phyllopteryx taeniolatus (common seadragon) is the source of this 2545-nucleotide long non-coding RNA. RefSeq lists it as uncharacterized. NCBI's taxonomy places the organism in Eukaryota, Metazoa, Chordata, Actinopteri, Syngnathiformes, Syngnathidae. The transcript is spliced from 3 exons. The record is from RefSeq and is a predicted model, not a curated record.
UCUAAAAGCUGUGGAUUAAUUUUACAAGAGUUAGUUGGACUAACCAUGCAUGAAACAGAGCCAGCAGCCAAGAGUCUCCACAUUUAUGAGGCAUACCUUCACCUCAUCAUCGUUCUUUCGUGGAGUUGAAAAGCGGGGUGUGGCUUAAGAAGAUUGGGAAAGCCUGUUCUAAAUUGUCAAAUAUAUUAGUGGUAUGCAAAAUGGGCUAUUUUUCAGAGGGGAUUGUAGACCUGGGGAUAGGCGUGCGCCAACUCUUGUCGGGUUGUAGAAGAGGGUGAGGGGCUAUUUCGUCUCGCAUCCUUUUUAUGCAUACCCAUCCAUACAUGUUUGAGCCACAAAAAAAUAUACCCGAUUAAAACCUCUGGUGGCUGGAAUAUAUCCCAACGCGUCAUCACAGGGCUUUCCCACUCCGCGACGAGAGGUGCUAGCCACCAGCUAGCGCACGAGCUAACAGUAUUGGGCCUAGUAAUAAUAACUAAACAAGUCGCGAUUGCACCGAAUAGCCACUGAUACGAAUGAAGGCGCUCAAGUCAGUGGCUGAAAUGCGACGUUGGGCACCAUUUUAGCCACAGUUUAAAAUCAGGAAAACGGAAAUGGUAAAAAAAAACAGUUUGACGCUAGAGCUCCACAAUUGAGUACUACAUACUCCUUGGUCUUUGCACGUUUUCAGCAAUUAUCUUAAAACAUAUAUAUGAAUUCUCUCUAUAGGGUCUUAGGCCAACUGAUUUAGACCAUUUCUUUCUCCAACACCCAACAACGACCAUUAUAACACCAAGAAACCCUGAUGGGACAAGCCGAAAGUCGCAACAACCACCUUCGAAUUGUGAGGAAGCGAUCAAAGUCACAGUUGGACCCAUUUUCAGGGGUAAAAAAAAAAUAACAGAACACUGACUUGAUGUUUCCGCUCUUGACAGCAGUCCCGGCAAAGAAAUUUGACAAUGGCUGAAACGUGAUAGUGGACGGCUAUCGAUUACAAAAAGAUUGAGAAGGCUAGCUAAUGGGCAGUCGUGCACAUCCACGGCCAACCUGAUCGUGUUGGGUUUUGGAUUACGCCAGUUGGUCGUUUUUAGAAGUGCACCUCGACGAAGUGCAAAUCUAAUGCCACAAACAGGAACUCUGUUUGCGAGGAUGUUGUUUUUGACGAAUCCGCCCCUGAAUCCAAACGGGCAGGCUGCGAAAACAAAACGUUGCUGAUGAAUAAAAACACAUGUUCAAGCUUACACGGCAAUAUGACAUAACGGUGACACAUUGCCAGUAGUCAUGGGGGGGGUUUCACCGUCACCCCAUUUGUUAAGCAUUUUGCCUGUUUCUGCUUAAAACACAAUCCUUUUUUAACUUUUCAUCGACACUUUUUAAAGACUGUAUGUCUUGAGACAAUGUUAUUCAUUUCCAAGGAAAGUUUUUCCUGGCAGGCCGACACGUUGUCACCCCCCCAGGCUGCAUAAUAAUGCCGCACACACAACCGUUUGCUCACAUGCCUCUUUGGCCUACAUCUCACACCAAUAUUUAUAGACUCCAAGCACAUAGUGUAACUUAAACAGCCGCAACGCAACGAGGGUUCUUUUAGGUAAUUUUUCUAGCAGAUUUCGACAAUUACAACCCCACGCACUACAAGUCAGCGGCGCCAUUGGGCAAAUCAUCUCGUUACUACUGUUUAGCUGUCGUCAAGGAGGGUGGACACUGAACUUUGGAGCGUGGGCCCGGACACGCGCGGCGGCACUGCGGGUAAUCCGUCACCGGAAGGCUCCCUGACAAGCGCCGCCGUGUCACGCACCCACGUACGCACGAGCAUGAUGGAUGAGCGACCGCUGGGCACCGUCACCGUGAAGUCUGAUCUACACGAUGCGGAUAACUGCCCUGGGACACGACGAAAAGGGAAAAUGGAGGGUCACGGAUGAGCUCGAGCCUAACCCAGUUGAAUUACUGCAAAAACACAUAUGGCGCACCCUGGACUGGUCAUCGGUCAAUCAUAGGAUGAUUGAUUCAUUGAUUGAUCCACAGAGUCGGCUACGGGAAUCACUCGACUCCAAUGGAAGUAAAAACACCCAUCCAUUUUCUACCACUUAUCCCGUUCAAGAUCAGUUUGAGCUGGAACCUAACAGAGUUGAUUUGAGGACAAAAGGUGGACUACACCCUGGAUUGUCCCCCAGUCAAGAAUUUUUUUGUGUAACUUGAGUGUACCAUCCGCUGCGCUUCAGUCAUGUGAUUUGUGACCUUUAAAGAGUGCCCGUAGACUGUUGCCAGGCAGAAAGCACCUGUUCACUGUUUGCUCUCGCAUGAAUAAUCUAACGCAUUGCUAACGCAUGUCAUCACCUUCUGAUUUAUUGGAAGUGGAACUGUUGCGCCGGUGAAGGCACCACACGAGGUUCUCGAUUAGGUGUCUGGAAACUCUACCGAUUUUAGAUGAUAGCAGAUAAUAAGACUCAAUUGUAUUUACUGCUUAUCCUUAUUAUGGUCGCUGGUGAGUUGGAGCCUAUCCCAGUUGACUUUGGGCGAGAGGCCUGAUAGAAACACAUGCAAAUAUAUAUAUAUGUAUACAAAAUCA